Molecule: unclassified non-coding RNA, 2707 nt
Filed under: uncultured fungus
Lineage: Eukaryota; Fungi
Description: sequence contains 18S rRNA gene, ITS1, 5.8S rRNA gene, ITS2, 28S rRNA gene
Rfam family: Eukaryotic large subunit ribosomal RNA (bases 1481-2707)
Source: RNAcentral
GGAAGGAUCAUUACCAAAAAUCCCAAUCAUACCAACCAACCGUGUGAACUGUAUUGUACCUUUGGGGAGCGUUGAAGGAGGAAUUAAACGCCAAAAUCGGCAAGCCACUCCUUCAACCUCGAGGUUUAAGGAAAGGACAGUCGGGGAGGGGGAGAGAGGGGAAAGAGAGAUGUUGUUGGCUCUCACUCUUUUGAGUGAUUGCUCUCUUCAUCUCUCUCUCUCACUCACUCACUCACUCUUUUCGCUUGUUCUUUCUUGCUCCCCAAAUGGAUUUUUUCCUCGAGGGUCUUUUUUGCCGUUCCAAAAAUAUUCAACUUGAACCCAAUAUAAAUACGAAUUAUUUCCAAACACGAGGAGUGAGAGCAAGUCUCUCAUGACUUAUGAUACAACAUUGAAUCCUCUGGACUCAUUUCGAUGGGGCCAUGGUUUGAUGGAAAGUUGAUAAAUACAACUUUCAACGGCGGAUCUCUUGGCUCGUGCAUCGAUGAAGAACGCAGCAAACUGCGAUAAGUAAUGCGAAUUGCAGAAUUCAGUGAAUCAUCGAGUUUUUGAACGCAAAUGGCGCUCCUGAUGUUCUCAGGAGCAUGUCUGUCUGAGAGUCGUUUUUUCUUCAUCUCACCAAUAUCUUUUUUGUUUCACUACAAAGAAGAGCCGGUGGCCUGUGGGGUCGUGGAGAUGGCUUGUUUUUCUCUUCGGAAAGCAUAAACCCAAAUCCUGUUUCGGACCUUGAUCAGUUCGAAUCCCCUUAAAUACAGUGUGGAAAAAAACGUUCCUGAGCAGUCUCUUCUUCUUCUCUUUCACAAGAGAGAGUGAGUGACUGCCUAUGGAAACAUGAUGUUUUUGACUGAGCCUCCUCCCUUUCCAGAAUAUUGGACAAAGAGAGAAGACACAAUCAGGAAAAAAAUCAUCUUGUUGAUUUGGUCUCUUCUCCACACGCACACAUCCGUGUGUGUGUUGUGGAAAAAGGGGCUCCCUUUGGCCCCUUUUUUUCUUCACAAACCAAACCUGGAUAACUCAGACGAUUGUCUGAACCACUAUCCGAUUUUUUAAUUCAAAAAUCUUUGAAUAACACAUCAUGCCUGAGAAACAUGUUGGCACUGGAGAAACAAUUUAUUUUGUUUCACCUUUGCCGCCCUCUGGUUCUCUCUCUUGAUGAGGUAAAAAGCUUUAGAGAUUUUUUCUCUAUUCAUUUUUCCAUCAAGAGAGAAACUGGCUUUGGGUAUGCAUGGAUUCCCUUAUGAAUUGUGGAAAAUCCCAGAUUGGAAUUAAAAUAGGCAACGAGUUUGUGUGGGAAAUAAACCAGGACAAUGUGGUCAACUUGCUGGUUCUUUUUGCUUGUCUUUUUCUUUUCGAUCAAAAAUGGAUUGGAAAAAAGCUCCACACACGCAUCAACAACAAGCACACACACACACACACACAUGUGUGUGUUGUGUCUUUGCUGUUGUGCGAGUGUGAAAAAGAAAAUAAACUUUUCGAACCGCGACCUCAGAUCAGGCAGGACUACCCGCUGAAUUUAAGCAUAUCAUUAAGCGGAGGAAAAGAAACUAACAAGGAUUCCCCCAGUAACGGCGAGUGAAGAGGGAAAAGCUCAAAUUUGAAAUCUCCAAGGAAGAAACCUUGGCGAAUUGUAGUUUAGAGAAGUGCUUUCGAGUCAGCGGCGGCAAUCCAAGUUCCUUGGAACAGGACGUCAGAGAGGGUGAGAAUCCCGUCUGCGGUUGCUGCUCACACGCUGGCCAAUACGAGGUGCUCUCGAAGAGUCGGGUUGUUUGGGAAUGCAGCCCAAAAUGGGUGGUAAAUUUCAUCUAAAGCUAAAUAUGGGCACGAGACCGAUAGCGAACAAGUACCGUGAGGGAAAGAUGAAAAGUACUUUGAAAAGAGAGUUAAAAGGACGUGAAGCCGUUGAAAGGGAACCGCUUGAAGUCAGCAAUGCUCCGGUACCAUUCAGGUUUCCUCGCCGGACUUGGGGUGCUGCCAAAGCGAGUGGGGUAAAACCUGCCGGUUGGCGGUCCAUCAAAGAAGACCGGGGGAUUCUGCAUUUGGUGCUGCACGAGCGCGUCAGCAUCAGUUUGUCCUGCGAGAGAUGGCUCGUUGAGAAGGUAGCCUGGCCCGGUACCUCGUGUGCUGGCCGGGUGUUACAGCUUGGCGGCUGAGCAUCGUAUGGAUGGACUGAGGAAGAGAGGAAAAAGUCGCCUCUAGUGCCGUGUGAUUUACCGUUUGGGCCGCAUCUAGGGCCGGGUGAAGAAUCUGUUGCGGGACAGUGCGCCCUUGAGGACGCCCUGUGCUGUGACCUUUGCUGGUUGUUUAGGUGCGCGCGGAUAGCCACACACGCUGGAUGCGGGGGUAACCCCUACCUUGACGAAAUGGCUUCAAUCGACCCGUCUUGAAACACGGACCAAGGAGUCUAACAUAUGCGCGAGUCUUAGGGUGGCAAACCACUGAGGCGUAAUGAAAGUGUGCGGCGCAAGCUGCUGGAUGAGAGCCGCGUGGGGAAAAGCGCGGUGCAUCAUCGACCGAUCUGGAUAUUCUUUGAAAGAUUUGAGUAAGAGCGUAUCUGUCGGGACCCGAAAGAUGGUGAACUAUGCCUGAAUAGGGUGAAGUCAGAGGAAACUCUGAUGGAAGCUCGCAGCGUAUCUGACGUGCAAAUCGAUCGUCAAAUUUGGGUAUAGGGGCGAAAGACUAAUCGAACCAUCUAGUAGCUGGUUCCCAC